This 332-nucleotide ribosomal RNA is filed under the name Escherichia coli. RNAcentral's name for it is "bacterial SSU rRNA". It matches the Rfam family "Bacterial small subunit ribosomal RNA", at positions 1 to 332 of the family's 1533-position model. The record is from RNAcentral. Lineage: Bacteria; Pseudomonadati; Pseudomonadota; Gammaproteobacteria; Enterobacterales; Enterobacteriaceae.
UUGAAGAGUUUGAUCAUGGCUCAGAUUGAACGCUGGCGGCAGGCCUAACACAUGCAAGUCGAACGGUAACAGGAAACAGCUUGCUGUUUCGCUGACGAGUGGCGGACGGGUGAGUAAUGUCUGGGAAACUGCCUGAUGGAGGGGGAUAACUACUGGAAACGGUAGCUAAUACCGCAUAACGUCGCAAGACCAAAGAGGGGGACCCUCGGGCCUCUUGCCAUCGGAUGUGCCCAGAUGGGAUUAGCUUGUUGGUGGGGUAACGGCUCACCAAGGCGACGAUCCCUAGCUGGUCUGAGAGGAUGACCAGCCACACUGGAACUGAGACACGGUCC